This 1254-nucleotide ribosomal RNA is filed under the name Triticum aestivum (bread wheat). RNAcentral describes it as "partial small subunit ribosomal RNA". The record is from RNAcentral. Lineage: Eukaryota; Viridiplantae; Streptophyta; Magnoliopsida; Poales; Poaceae.
AUGGCAUCUGGAAGCCGCGGCGACAUGGACGGGAGGCGAUGGUCGGACCUCCCGGCGGACGUGCUCCGUGAGAUAUCCGGCCGCGUGCGCGCCGCCGCCGGCUUCGUCAGCUUUCACGGCGUCUGCAAGCAAUGGCGCGGCUCGCGCGACCCGCUAUCCCGGCGGGCGAGGGCAACCAGGACCCAAUUCCUGCCAUGGCUCCUCGCGCCGCCGGACGAAGAACCCGGCCACUUGAAGUUCAGGUGCGUCUUCUCCAAGGCCAGCUACCGCGUGGUGCCCCCUUCGCCCGUGCCCCGGAGAAACUGGGUGUGCAGGACGGACGGAGCCGGCGUGUGGUAUCUGGCCGUCGACGAACGCCUCCGCCCUAGCCUCCACGACCCUCUCACCGGAGCCGUCGCCCACCUGCCCACCUUCCCGUGGGGAGAGGGGUUUAACCCCUGCGGCGUCAUCUACGACGACGGCACCACAUUCCUGUACAGCUACAAUGGAAGAAGUGGAUGGUUCAGGGCAGCUCUCCUGCGUCCCGGUGAUGCCGAGUGGACGGCCGUCGAGAGGACCCUCGAAGCACCUUUGAUUUGGUACCGUGAGUUCUGCGCCACGUACCACGGUGGCAAGAUCAUGGUGACCGCUGAUGCUAGCCUGUGGCACGUAGUCACACCUGAUGGUGAUGAUGGUGACGACGUGUUGGUACCAAGGCCGCCACCAUGUUUGCCGUCGGAGGAAGAGCCCUCCUGCUCGCGCCGUUACAGCCAUGUCCUCGAGUCCUGCGGCGAGCUUCUGUGGGUGGUUGUGCAGGUCCAGUUGCGCAGUUACACUCCUAAGAGCGGCCUCAGACCCGUGCUCUCGGUGGUUGUGCACGCGCUAGGGGAGGAGACAACGACGUCGCCACCGGAGAAGAAUACACCACGGUGGGUGAGGAAAGACGGCCAUGGCCUGACCGACCGCGUGCUGUUCCUCGGGUGGCCCAACAGCUUCGCAUGGAUGCCUCGCGGCUGUUGGGCGGUAGGGACGUCGACGGCGGGUGUGUCUACUUCGUCUACCGUGAAAAUGCGGACUUGCCACGUGAACGUGAAGAGGUCGGCGUGUUCAGGUACAACCUCGUCGACGACAAGAUCAAGUACUGGUACUACGGUCGUCAAAACAAUCUUGAGAUCAUCGAGCGACUGCCUCAAGGAUUGGACGAGGGGAGGUGCGCGUGGCUACUACCCCAACCUGCUAUUGCUCCAAUUCAGGAACUCAAUGAGAGGGCGUUGA